CACAACUCUGAGCGGUGGAUCACUCGGCUCGUGCGUCGAUGAAGAGCGCAGCCAGCUGCGAGAAGUGAUGUGAAUUGCAGGACACAUUGAACAUCGACGACUUGAACGCACUUUGCGGUCUCGGGUAACUCCCGGGACCACGCCUGUCUCAGGGUCG
This 157-nucleotide ribosomal RNA is filed under the name Platynereis dumerilii (Dumeril's clam worm). RNAcentral's name for it is "5.8S ribosomal RNA". It matches the Rfam family "5.8S ribosomal RNA". From Rfam's summary of the family: 5.8S ribosomal RNA (5.8S rRNA) is a component of the large subunit of the eukaryotic ribosome. It is transcribed by RNA polymerase I as part of the 45S precursor that also contains 18S and 28S rRNA. Lineage: Eukaryota; Metazoa; Annelida; Polychaeta; Phyllodocida; Nereididae. The record is from RNAcentral.